GUCUAUGGCCAUACCACCCUGAAAACACGCAAUCUUGUCUGAUCUUGGAAGCUAAGCAGGGUUGUGCCUGGUUAGUAUUUGGGUGGGCUAUAGGCU
Ribosomal RNA from Homo sapiens (human), 96 nucleotides. NCBI's taxonomy places the organism in Eukaryota, Metazoa, Chordata, Mammalia, Primates, Hominidae. The record is from Rfam.